RNAcentral lists this ribosomal RNA (409 nucleotides) under bacterium. Its description in RNAcentral is "partial 16S ribosomal RNA". It matches the Rfam family "Bacterial small subunit ribosomal RNA", at positions 355 to 776 of the family's 1533-position model. The record is from RNAcentral.
UGGGGAAUAUUGCACAAUGGGCGAAAGCCUGAUGCAGCGACGCCGCGUGAGGGAUGACGGCCUUCGGGUUGUAAACCUCUUUCAGUAGGGACGAAGCGCAAGUGACGGUACCUGCAGAAGAAGCACCGGCUAACUACGUGCCAGCAGCCGCGGUAAUACGUAGGGUGCGAGCGUUGUCCGGAAUUACUGGGCGUAAAGAGCUCGUAGGCGGUUUGUCACGUCGUCUGUGAAAUCCUAGGGCUUAACCCUGGACGUGCAGGCGAUACGGGCUGACUUGAGUACUACAGGGGAGACUGGAAUUUCUGGUGUAGCGGUGGAAUGCACAGAUAUCAGGAAGAACACCGAUGGUGAAGGCAGGUCUCUGGGUAGUAACUGACGCUGAGGAGCGAAAGCAUGGGUAGCGAACAGG